UAACACGUGGGUAACCUGCCUUAUAGUGGGGGAUAGCCUUUUGAAAGGAAGAUUAAUACCGCAUAAGAUUGUAGUAUCGCAUGAUAUAGCAAUUAAAGGAGCAAUCCGCUAUAAGAUGGACCCGCGUCGCAUUAGCUAGUUGGUGAGGUAAUGGCUCACCAAGGCGACGAUGCGUAGCCGACCUGAGAGGGUGAUCGGCCACAUUGGGACUGAGACACGGCCCAGACUCCUACGGGAGGCAGCAUG
Molecule: ribosomal RNA, 246 nt
Filed under: uncultured bacterium
Lineage: Bacteria
Description: partial 16S ribosomal RNA
Rfam family: Bacterial small subunit ribosomal RNA
Source: RNAcentral